This 619-nucleotide ribosomal RNA is filed under the name Xylodon rhododendricola. RNAcentral describes it as "Xylodon sp. XWW-2020e partial small subunit ribosomal RNA". It matches the Rfam family "Bacterial small subunit ribosomal RNA", at positions 362 to 949 of the family's 1533-position model. Lineage: Eukaryota; Fungi; Basidiomycota; Agaricomycetes; Hymenochaetales; Schizoporaceae. The record is from RNAcentral.
UAUUAGUCAAUGCUCGCAAGAGUGAACUAGCUAACUGAAAUCAAAGGUGUGUCACUUUUGAUAAGGUAAAGGAAAAUAAAUGAUACUACUUUACUAUUAGUGUCGUCCAAGUACUCGUGCCAGAAGACUCGGUAAGGCGAGAGACGCAAACGUUAGUCGUCUUAAUCAGGCGUAAAGGGUUUGUAGGCGGCUUUAAGAAUGGAUCCUUUCUAAAUUACAUUAUUCUAAAUUUAGGGUAAAAUUCUUCGGAAGGAAAGGAGAAAUCAAUUAAAGCUAGAAUCAAAUAGAGGUCAAAUUAAAUAAUACUUGGUGUAAGAUUGGUAUCUUUAAAAACCAAGCGGAAUACUAACGGCGAAGGCUUUUUUCCAUUAAUGAUUGACGCUGAGAAACUAAGGUGAGGACAGAAAAAAGGAUUAGAGACCCUCGUAUUCCUCACUGUCAACGAUGAAUGGUAGUUACUAGAUAUUAUUGAUAUAUAUAAAUUUAAUAUAUAAACAUAUAACCAAAUCUAGAGGCGAUGUUAACACGAAAACCAUUCCGCCUUGUGAGUACGACUGCAAAGUUGAAAACAAAAAAAUUAGUCGGUUUCGGAGCAAACGAAGUGAAGCAUGUUAUUUAA